UGGGGAAUAUUGCACAAUGGGCGAAAGCCUGAUGCAGCGACGCCGCGUGAGGGAUGACGGCCUUCGGGUUGUAAACCUCUUUCAGCAGGGACGAAGCGCAAGUGACGGUACCUGCAGAAGAAGCACCGGCUAACUACGUGCCAGCAGCCGCGGUAAUACGUAGGGUGCAAGCGUUGUCCGGAAUCACUGGGCGUAAAGGGUGUCGAGGCGGUUGUAUUAGUCGUUCGUAAAAUCUACGAGCUUAACUUGUAGGCGGCGAACGAAACGGUACGACUUGAGGUUUGGAGAGGUGCGUGGAACUCACGGUGUAGGGGUGAAAUCCGUUGAUAUCGUGGGGAACACCAAAGGCGAAGGCAGCGCACUGGCCAAAAUCUGACGCUCACACACGAAAGCUAGGGUAGCGAAGAGGAUUAGAUACCCCGGUAGUCCCUGAGCGGGCUGGCAAGGCGCAU
RNAcentral lists this ribosomal RNA (452 nucleotides) under uncultured bacterium. Its description in RNAcentral is "bacterial SSU rRNA". It matches the Rfam family "Bacterial small subunit ribosomal RNA", at positions 355 to 825 of the family's 1533-position model. The record is from RNAcentral.